Molecule: RNA transcript, 1394 nt
Organism: Beta vulgaris subsp. vulgaris (sugar beet)
Lineage: Eukaryota; Viridiplantae; Streptophyta; Magnoliopsida; Caryophyllales; Amaranthaceae
Gene name: pre-mRNA-splicing factor SPF27 homolog
Exons: 8
Source: RefSeq, a predicted model, not a curated record
GUAGCCGGCCGUACGUAAUACAGGUAGUUCCUUCAAAUCAAACGACCCGGAGUAAAAAGAACGUGGUACCUCACGGCUCACAGUUCACAGUCUAAACGCUAAACAAACCGAGCUGCGACAACAAGCGCACAGAUCGAGAAAUGGCAAGUAAAACCGGAAAUGGCGACGUAAUGAUGCUGGAGGCAGCACCCGACGCAGCGCGACCAUGGGCGAGCGCUUCCAAUGCAGAGACCAUCGAUGCCCUGCCUUACAUCGACGAUGACUAUGCAAACCCUGCAGUUAAACAACAAGUCGACCGCUUAGUCGAGGAAGAGAUGCGCCGAAGCUCCAAAAAACCUUCCGAUUUUCUCAAAGAUCUUCCCCCUCUUCCCAAAUUCAAUUUCGAGGAUCACCCAAUGCUUGCUAGAGAAUAUGAGCGAGUCAGGGCUGGGAAGCCUCCAGUUUCACUUGAUACAUCUCGAUAUAUACCAGAUGCACCACCGGUGAAUAAACAGAAUGAUGAAACAGCUUGGAGGCAAGCCCUUCAAAAAGCUCAGCGCUUGCUACAGCAUCAAGAGAUAAGGCUGGAAAAUUUGGAUCUGAUGUCUAAGUAUGCUCCUGAUGUCUGGAAACACUACAACCAACGGCUUGAGGCUUCUUUAACCAGAUUGCAAGCUAUGGCUGUUGAGCAUGGUGAGAAGAUUGAAACUGUGAACAGGGAAAGAAAACAUCAACAGCAAAAUGCUGGCAGUGAGUUACAUGUUUUAUCAGCACAAUGGAGGGAGCUUUCUUUGAAGAAUAUUGAAAUUCAAGAAGCUUGUGCUAGAAUUGCAAAUCUUCUUGAAGAACUAAGGAAAGAAGCUGUUGAGAGAGGCUGGAACUUGGAUGUAAAUUUGGAGAAUGGUUCUUUGGUUCAUGUCAAACAGUGAGUUGGGCUCUUCUUGAUCCGAGUAUGCUGUGAAAUUGGCAUCACUAAAUCCUGUCAUGCUUUGCCACACAAGACAAUAACCCCAAUUUAGAGGCCUCACCUAUGGUUGGUUAACUGGGUUUAGUUGGUGCUCAAUGUGGCUUCUGAUGCGGGGAUGUGCCCCUGUAACUGUGGAGCAAGGUGAUAUUUCAGGAAUUGGUGACAUGCUUGCAUAUCAGACAAAUCUCUUCUUGCAAAAUGUGAGUUUAGGUUUAAAGGCAUGCUGCGUGUAAUUCUUGGUGUGAAUUACUUUAUCUUUUUUGUGAAUUAUUACACAUUAUGUCAUCCAAGUUUUUAAUUGAAUAUUAUCUCUUUUAGUAAUAGAUAGGAACUCUAGAUUAUUGUACAUGUAGAUAUUGCUGAAUUACAAUAGAUAUUGCGAUGGCAGUUUCUAUUCUUAUGACAGAGGAGAGAUAUGAAUAUAUGCUUGGAUUAUUGCUUUGACACA